Mycena belliarum is the source of this 71-nucleotide non-coding RNA. NCBI's taxonomy places the organism in Eukaryota, Fungi, Basidiomycota, Agaricomycetes, Agaricales, Mycenaceae. The record is from the annotation of a GenBank genome assembly.
GACACAGUAGUUUAGUGGUUAAACUUCCGACCCAUCUGCAAGGUCCGGGGUUCAAAUCCCCGAGAGUGGCA